GUUAGGAAUAUUGGACAAUGGGGGCAACCCUGAUCCAGCCAUGCCGCGUGUGUGAAGAAGGCCUUAGGGUUGUAAAGCACUUUCGGCUGUGAAGAUAAUGACAGUAGCAGAAGAAGAAGCUCCGGCUAAAUUCGUGCCAGCAGCCGCGGUAAUACGAAUGGAGCGAGCGUUGUUCGGAAUCACUGGGCGUAAAGGGUGCGCAGGCGGUCUUGAAAGUUAGAAGUGAAAGCACCGGGCUUAACCCGGGAAUUGCUUUUAAAACUCCAAGACUAGAGUACUGGAGAGGUUGGCGGAAUUCCAAGUGUAGCAGUGAAAUGCGUAGAUAUUUGGAGGAACACCGAUGGCGUAGGCAGCCAACUGGACAGUAACUGACGCUCAUGCACGAAAGCGUGGGGAUCAAACAGGAUUAGAUACCCUGGUAGUCC
Molecule: ribosomal RNA, 425 nt
Filed under: uncultured bacterium
Lineage: Bacteria
Description: partial 16S ribosomal RNA
Rfam family: Bacterial small subunit ribosomal RNA
Source: RNAcentral